GGCCCAAUGGUCUAGAAGUAUGAUACUUGCUUUGGGGGACACGUGCUUGUAGUCACGUGACCUGACUGCAAGGGGUCCCGGGUUCAAUUCCCGGUUGGGCCC
Molecule: non-coding RNA, 102 nt
Organism: Epithele typhae
Lineage: Eukaryota; Fungi; Basidiomycota; Agaricomycetes; Polyporales; Epitheliaceae
Source: the annotation of a RefSeq genome assembly